This is a non-coding RNA of Dermacentor albipictus, 1196 nucleotides long. NCBI's taxonomy places the organism in Eukaryota, Metazoa, Arthropoda, Arachnida, Ixodida, Ixodidae. The record is from RefSeq and is a predicted model, not a curated record.
UCCAGGAUCACCGCAUUGAUGUGACGUCUAUUGUUACCGACCGGCAUGCCCAGAUAAAGUGUUUUCUUCGGAAGGAGAGGUCCGACAUCACGCAUGAAUUCGAUGUCUGGCAUGUCGUUAAAGGUAUGAUGUAGUCUGUACUUGACUGGACCAGAAUAUUUUUACUUGCAUUAUGCAUUCUUGCAAGAAAGGCAUGCAUAUAUUUUUUUAAAUUUCAGGUGUUCACAAAAAGUUGCUUGCUGUGGCUAAGAGAAAUGACUCCAAAGAGCUCAAGGAGUGGACGCAAGCUGUUGGGAACCACCUCUAUUGGUAGGCUGCCUCAAGUGAGGGCCACAAGGAGCUCAUUGUUCCGAAGUGGAAAUCACUGCUAAAUCAUGUCAGAGACAUUCACAGCCAUGAGGAUGCACUGUUUCCAUCCUGUCUUCAUGGAGACAUUGAACCGCGGAAUUGGCUUAGCACAGAGUCGAAGGCUUUCCAGAAGCUGAAGGAAGUAGCGACUUCCAAGGCCCUCCUGAGAGAUUUGCCACAACUAGCAACGAAGUUCCAGACCUAUGGUUUAGAAGCUUUCCAUAGCGUGCUGCUGCAUUUCGCGCCCAAGUUGUGCCAGUACUCCUUUGAAGGAAUGGUGGCAAGGACUCGGUUAGCAGCCAUGCACUACAAUGAGAACAGUGAGAGAAGGCAGGCAUGCACACAGGAUGGCACUUCUAGGUGGAUUGUGAAAUACCCGAAAGCCACAGGAGGCAAUGCGGUUGCCUGUCCUGUAAAGGAGCAACCCACACAUGGCUAUGUGAAGAGACUACUGGAAGUGGUUAUGCUGGACGCUGUCACAGUGUUACGGACGAGAAGGACCACAAAUGCGAAGAUUCCGCCACCUCUCAGCAGCCGCUUUCCUAAAGCAUCAAAGGAAGAGCUUGUAAACAGGCGGAGAACAAGAUUCAACAAGUAGUUAGAUAUUAUGGUCUUGUAGCAAAAUGUAAUGAGAAUGCCAACAAUGUGAAAAGCUGGUUUGCUCCUAACACAAGCCAUUGUAGACUCAUGACACAGUGCAUGACAAACUACCUUUGUGACAGCUUCACGACAUCCAUGUAAAUAACUUUAUAAAUAUGUGUUUGUGUAUGCUAGGGUUGGCUGUUUUUCUAUUUUACAUGUGUGGCAACCAGAUAAAAUGACACUGAAUAAAAUAUAUAUGUGCUUCC